This 301-nucleotide ribosomal RNA is filed under the name uncultured bacterium. RNAcentral's name for it is "partial 16S ribosomal RNA". It matches the Rfam family "Bacterial small subunit ribosomal RNA", at positions 509 to 807 of the family's 1533-position model. The record is from RNAcentral.
CAGUCGCCGCGGGAAUACGUAGGGUGCAAGCGUUAAUCGGAAUUACUGGGCGUAAAGCGUGCGCAGGCGGUUCGCUAAGACAGAUGUGAAAUCCCCGGGCUUAGCCUGGGAACUGCAUUUGUGACUGGCGGGCUAGAGUAUGGCAGAGGGGGGUAGAAUUCCACGUGUAGCGGUGAAAUGCGUAGAGAUCUGGAGGAAUACCGGUGGCGAAGGCGGCCCCCUGGACAAAGACUGACGCUCAGGUGCGAAAGCGUGGGGAGCAAACAGGAUUAGAUACCCGUGUAGUCCCUGUCUCUUAUAC